This 397-nucleotide ribosomal RNA is filed under the name uncultured bacterium. Its description in RNAcentral is "bacterial SSU rRNA". It matches the Rfam family "Bacterial small subunit ribosomal RNA", at positions 28 to 415 of the family's 1533-position model. The record is from RNAcentral.
GAUGAACGCUAGCGGCAGGCUUAACACAUGCAAGUCGAGGGGCAGCGUGAUGAAGUAGCAAUACGGAUUUGACGGCGACCGGCGCACGGGUGCGUAACGCGUAUGUAACCUACCUUUAACAGGGGGAUAACACUGAGAAAUUGGUACUAAUACCCCAUAACACUUUGAGAGGCAUCUCUUAGAGUUGAAAGUUCCGGCGGUUAAAGAUGGACAUGCGUUGUAUUAGCUAGAUGGUGAGGUAACGGCUCACCAUGGCGACGAUACAUAGGGGGACUGAGAGGUUAACCCCCCANACUGGUACUGAGACACGGACCAGACUCCUACGGGAGCAGCAGUGAGGAAUAUUGGGUCAAUGGACGCAAGUCUGAACCAGCCAUGCCGCGUGCAGGAAGACGGC